Small nuclear RNA from Heterocephalus glaber (naked mole-rat), 184 nucleotides. Its record names the gene U2. It matches the Rfam family "U2 spliceosomal RNA". Rfam says of the family: U2 is a small nuclear RNA (snRNA) component of the spliceosome (involved in pre-mRNA splicing). NCBI's taxonomy places the organism in Eukaryota, Metazoa, Chordata, Mammalia, Rodentia, Bathyergidae. The record is from Ensembl.
AUCGCUUCUCGGCCUUUUGGCUAAGAUCAAGUGUAGUAAAAGAGGAACUGUGCCAUAUUUAAGCUUGUGUAUCUAAUGUAUUUCACUCAACAUUAUGGUCUCCAUGUGCAUCCAUUUUUGUACAAAUGACUCAAGCUUAUCUUUUUUUAUGGCAGAGUAGUACUCCAUUCUGUGUAAAUACCAG